This 428-nucleotide ribosomal RNA is filed under the name bacterium. RNAcentral's name for it is "partial 16S ribosomal RNA". It matches the Rfam family "Bacterial small subunit ribosomal RNA", at positions 355 to 776 of the family's 1533-position model. The record is from RNAcentral.
UGGGGAAUCUUCCGCAAUGGACGAAAGUCUGACGGAGCAACGCCGCGUGAGUGAAGACGGCCUUCGGGUUGUAAAGCUCUGUGAUUCGGGACGAAAGGCCAUAUGUGAAUAAUAUAUGGAAAUGACGGUACCGAAAAAGCAAGCCACGGCUAACUACGUGCCAGCAGCCGCGGUAAUACGUAGGUGGCAAGCGUUGUCCGGAAUUAUUGGGCGUAAAGCGCGCGCAGGCGGUCACUUAAGUCCAUCUUAGAAGUGCGGGGCUUAACCCCGUGAUGGGAUGGAAACUGGGAGACUGGAGUAUCGGAGAGGAAAGUGGAAUUCCUAGUGUAGCGGUGAAAUGCGUAGAGAUUAGGAGGAACACCGGUGGCGAAUGCGACUUUCUGGACGAAAACUGACGCUGAGGCGCGAAAGCGUGGGGAGCAAACAGG